RNAcentral lists this transfer RNA (85 nucleotides) under Pseudoramibacter alactolyticus. RNAcentral describes it as "tRNA-Tyr(gta)". It matches the Rfam family "tRNA". From Rfam's summary of the family: Transfer RNA (tRNA) molecules are approximately 80 nucleotides in length. Their secondary structure includes four short double-helical elements and three loops (D, anti-codon, and T loops). Further hydrogen bonds mediate the characteristic L-shaped molecular structure. tRNAs have two regions of fundamental functional importance: the anti-codon, which is responsible for specific mRNA codon recognition, and the 3' end, to which the tRNAs corresponding amino acid is attached (by aminoacyl-tRNA synthetases). tRNAs cope with the degeneracy of the genetic code in two manners: having more than one tRNA (with a specific anti-codon) for a particular amino acid; and 'wobble' base-pairing, i.e. permitting non-standard base-pairing at the 3rd anti-codon position. Lineage: Bacteria; Bacillati; Bacillota; Clostridia; Eubacteriales; Eubacteriaceae. RNAcentral also lists the same sequence under 2 other names. The record is from RNAcentral.
GGGGAAAUGCCCGAGUGGCUAAAGGGGGCGGACUGUAAAUCCGUUGACUGAGUCUACGAUGGUUCGAAUCCAUCUUUCCCCACCA